CUCAGAGCCCUGUCCCUCCUCUCCAUGAUCCCCACCUCAGCGCACACCUCAGGGGUCCCGGUGCUGAGUGGCGCCAGUGGAGCAGGAAGGCAGCUGUGUGGACACCGUCUCCCAGACCCACUAGGCCUCCUGUAGGCGCAGCGCUAAGAACCCUCACAGGCAGCACAGCAAGAGAGCCGAGCCCCGCUGGCACCACCAGGGACCCUGGGCCACAGACUCAGCUGCUGCCAUCACCUCCGCACUCCUCCUCCCCUUUCCUUCUCUCCUCUCCCCCUUGGCCUCUCUCCUCUUCCUCUCUCUCCUCCCCUCCCUCUUGCUGGCCUUCUCUUGCUACAUACUGUCCCUGCAGCGCAGCCCGGGACGUGGGCACAGGUGAGGCCCCCACACUCACGUGAGCCUUUGGCAAGCAGGCGGUGGCUCUGGGCCCACAAUGGCAGUGUGGCUCCCAGGCCAGGGUCUCAAGUGCAGGCGUCCCACCUGGCCCUCACUGGGCCUCACUCAGCAAGGUGUCCCCGCUCUCCAGGCCCCAUCACGGAGGCAGCAGCUGUCAUGGGGGAGCCACGGCAAGAAAGAGCAAGCCCAGCAGGCCCCAGCACGGCCUCCGAGGCUGCCCCAUGACCAGACACCCAGGCCAGCCCAGGGCAGGACUUUGUGAUGCGAUAAACAGGCCAGCCUGGUCCUUUGUCCCCUGGCUUCCCUGUGGCCACAUCCGGGGGGGAGGUCCCCUGGGGGACAGCCAGCCCCACUGUGUUUGCACCUCCUGCACCAGCUGGUUGCCUCCACGAGCCUGUUCGUCACCAGGUGGCACAGCGUCUGGCAUGUUGAUGUCCCCUGAGCAAAUGAAGGGCCAGCGCCUUGAUCCCCCCCAGUGGUCAGCACCACCUCAGAGGGGACGACCUGGGGACGGACUCUGGGGCAGAUGUCGUGUGACCUGGAUGCACCCCAUCCCGGUCCUCAGCCGUUCUCCCGAGGACAGGAGGCACGUCUGGCGGGACAGCGCCCUCGGAGUGUGGGAUCCACUUGAAGGAAAGGCCCAGACUCCAAGUCGGCCACAGAG
RNAcentral lists this long non-coding RNA (1057 nucleotides) under Urocitellus parryii (Arctic ground squirrel). RNAcentral's name for it is "lncRNA (ENSUPAG00010022121.1)". The record is from RNAcentral. Lineage: Eukaryota; Metazoa; Chordata; Mammalia; Rodentia; Sciuridae.